Dreissena polymorpha is the source of this 2036-nucleotide RNA transcript. RefSeq lists it as uncharacterized. NCBI's taxonomy places the organism in Eukaryota, Metazoa, Mollusca, Bivalvia, Myida, Dreissenidae. The record is from RefSeq and is a predicted model, not a curated record. The transcript is spliced from 2 exons.
UGAACGGUCCGGAUCAGAAAUGUGUGAUAAACUGAACAUUACAGGGCUGUGUCACUAAAUUGUGGAGAAGUCUUACCGUUUCUGUUAUUGUAGUUUUUCAAAACGUUUAAUCUGGUGAUACAUACAUAAGCUGACAAACAUCUGGUUACUCUAAAUACAAAAAACGGGAAGCUCACACACCGAAGAGCCUUAAGUUAAGGAUGUAUUCAUUAAACAGAAAUGUAAAGUGGCUAACCGGGCUGAAAAUACACGCGACUCCUUUUCGAAAAUAACGAAAGCGACGCCAUUUUACGCAAGCAACCCAAAAUUGAAGACUUGACAAUUUGGAUAUGGCCAAUUUUCAAAACGUUUUUACUAGCACUGAAUAUCGAAACUGGAUGAUAUGCCAUUUUGCACAAAGCCUUGCUAAGGAUGUUCUAACUGAUGUCGUUGAGGCAGAAACUGAAUCGUUUCGUAUUCACAUACUACAACAUGCUCAAAUCACUACGCUUUAACCACAAGGUACAGUAUGUAACAAAUGCAUGACUCCUAAUGUUAUCAAAUGCCCUACAAAGACAGUGUGCAAAACAAAACACAGACGCUGUACAUUUAACAACAGUGUCGCUCUAAGUAACAGAAGAUGUCCAACGAACCGAAUAUGUGAUAGUUUAUGCAAAUCGAUCAUCGACAAUCAUCGUUUUAAAGGACCUUCCUGGAAAAAUACGGACGCAACCCAAUGGUGCACGAUCGCAUGGUCGAUCACUAAAUGUUACAUUCCCCCAGAUGGUUAUGAGAAUGUGAACACGGCUCGUGAUACCGAUUUUAACGGCAUCGUGAAUAUCAUCAUCAACUGUAUCAAAUUCCAGAAGUACUUGAAAGAAGACCUUAGCGAAUCUGCCAAUAUCUGCACAAAGGUUAUAUCUUUUUAAUAAGAUAUUGAACUGAAAGGCGAUGCUUAAUGUUCUUUUCCCGUGCUUACAUGAAUUAUGUUUUUUUGUUAUUGUUCAAGGGCAUUUUCCAUGCUCAAUAAUGUGUCUCUUUCAAGUCUUGUUUAACAUUAAGUAUGGUGAUUAUCAUUUUAUAAAAAAUACUGGUUCAUAAUUAUAUCCUUUUUCAUAACAUUUCAUUUGCUUAAACUGAAUUACAAGAAAAUGAAUCAAUUGAUCUUUUUAGGUUAGAGACAAGAACAAAACGCUAAAAUAUUCCCCUACUAUGAGGAUAGCUGAUGACGAGAAGGGCAAUUUUAUAAUCACCCUCGUGGGCAUUCUUAAUGAUUCAGUAAACGUGAACAAUCCUUCUAAAUUUACAGAGACAAGCCAGAAACUACUUAAGGUAAAGACGCAAACAUCAAAUGGAACGUGUAUAUAUUUUAGCGUUUUCAAAUGAUUUAAAGAUUCCAAUUGUAAACACACUUUUUGCAAUAAUGGUUUAGCGGCGUUUAAUACGGUUAUGUUAGUAAAUUGGAAAAUUAAGUGGUUAUUUGCUGAAAAUAUCCAGAUCUAGAUGAAUAAGGCGUAUAUUAUCCACGCGUCAACUAGAACUUCUAGAGGGCCUAGCAUAGCUCAAACUCCAAUCUAAUGUUUAAUUAGUGAUGGAAAAACUUAAAAGAAUUACUUGUUAAAUUACUUGUAUCGUCGCUUAAGAACUGCCUGUGAAAAACACCUUCAUAAAAAAGUCAGCAUACAACCGGAAUUAAAGUUAUUUGCGCUUAACCAUUUAAAUAUUAUACUAACAAUUACCUUGAUUUGACAUGUAAUUCAAGCUAACCACUCCGCGCACCAUUCACGUCUCCAAAAUAUAAAAGUUCUCAAAUUAAACAAAAGUAAUUGACCAAACCUCGAUUUACAGCUUCUUUUAACAAAUGAUAAAUAAUACAUAUUCGAUCACUUGUGGUUUGUCUUUGCAAAACUUAAUUGUCUUUUGGCCUUCUUCUGUGCAACUUAAACAUAUUUAAUUUAGACCACCAGGGAACAGUGAAGCUAUGUUUUAUCCCGAGGCGGCUUAAAUAAAGUAUCUUAUUAUUGUCAAUAUAUAUUUAUAAAAUAUAUCUUCAGUUA